RNAcentral lists this long non-coding RNA (1019 nucleotides) under Homo sapiens (human). RNAcentral describes it as "mir-100-let-7a-2-mir-125b-1 cluster host gene". Lineage: Eukaryota; Metazoa; Chordata; Mammalia; Primates; Hominidae. The record is from RNAcentral.
UUUUUUUUUCCUUGCCUUCUCCUUCUUCACUGAAGCCUAGGGGAGCCAGUAAAGAUUAAAUGUGCUUCUCAAAGGCAGCCACUUCAUGCUGCUAUGUCGAAAGGGCCAUUAUUAUUAUUAUAUUUUAAUGGUAAAAGAGAAAAGGAGAGAGGUUGAGCGAGCGAGAGAGAAGCUAGGUGUGAUGAUGACAGACUAGCUUUUCUGAGAGGAAAAGGAAAAGGGAAGGGAGAGAAAAAGGAGAGCCUCUGAGCUCAACGGAGGAUUGUGCCUGAGAAGAACCCACAGAGAGUGCAGGAAAUUCUACCCCCCAAGUAUGGCACCUUGGCAUGCUGAGUAUUUUAAGCUGAAGGAAACAGAGAAAACCACAGAAGCAGAAAGGUCUUUCUGACCUCUCUUGAAGACCCUCAUGUGACAGGUGUCCUGCCCUACAUCCAGAGAGAAGGAAUGUUCCACAGACAGACUAAGAAGAAUCUGAAGAAUCAGGCCUUACUAAGUGCCCUCCAGAUGUGACUGGAGUGAUUUGCACCCGGAUGCCUAGACUCGCCAUCUGCUCAAAGACUGCUCAGAAAGCCCUCCCAUGCAUUCCCCUGCUGCAUACCAGCCCACUCUGCCUGCAGCUGCUGUCUGCAGGACUUCAUAUCUAUGCCACACUGUGUAAAAGCUGUGCUUCAAGAAAUCACAAAAACAUUUUCCUGCACCUACUACACAGCCUGAGUGCGGCAUAAGUUGACCUUGCUUGCUAAGAAAUGGGGCAAGAAAUGCUUUUUUGUGUGUGUCAUGUCUGUUUGUUUUUCAAUUAAGAGAGGAAAGCAUUAGGCAGAUGGAAUGUACAUGUGAGGAUGAGGAGACAGAAAACAAGUAGCCCUUUCCAUCAAGAUAGAGGGUUUUCUGGGGUUGCUGGCUAUUGAAUGUCACUCCUGAUUUCUCUUUCCAAGGCACUGUACCACCAGCCUACUGAGAUUGUGUGGGAGCUUUCAUGGGGGUUGUAUUUCACUGAUGAAAAUAAAUUUUUUGCAUAA